Molecule: ribosomal RNA, 253 nt
Filed under: uncultured bacterium
Lineage: Bacteria
Description: partial 16S ribosomal RNA
Rfam family: Bacterial small subunit ribosomal RNA
Source: RNAcentral
UACAGAGGGUGCAAGCGUUGUUCGGAAUUAUUGGGCGUAAAGCGCGUGUAGGCGGCUUUGUGUGUCGGGUGUGAAAGCCCUCGCUUAACCGAGGAAGUGCGCCCGAAACUGCAGAGCUUGAGUGCCGGAGAGGAUAGCGGAAUACCCGGUGUAGAGGUGAAAUUCGUAGAUAUCGGGUGGAACACCAGUGGCGAAGGCGGCUAUCUGGACGGACACUGACGCUGAGACGCGAAAGCGUGGGGAGCAAACAGGG